Molecule: long non-coding RNA, 423 nt
Organism: Leopardus geoffroyi (Geoffroy's cat)
Lineage: Eukaryota; Metazoa; Chordata; Mammalia; Carnivora; Felidae
Exons: 3
Source: RefSeq, a predicted model, not a curated record
AGUGAGUAGUUGAACUCACAUCACUCUUUGGAAGAGUUUUUCCUGUACUUACUAAACUCCUGCUAUAUGCUGGGCACAAUUCUACAUGCUAGAGAUACUCACUGGUUCAGUGCCCACUGCAGAAGGACAAAUGAUACAUAGCAUGAAUUAAAUGACCACAGAACAUGGCAAGCUACUCUAAAUACAACAGGAAUUGGCUCACACAAUUAUGGAGUCUGCUGAAUCCCAAGACCUGCAGUCUUCAAGCUGGUGACCUAAAGGGGCCAAAGUGUGAGUUCUAGUUUAAAUGCUGGCAGCCUUGAGACCCAGAAAAAGCUGAUGUUUCAGUUCAAGUCUGGAGGCAGGAAAAAAAACCUGUCUGAGCUCAAGGUAAGAGAAAGUCCCUCUUAAUCACGGGAGGGUCAGCCUUUUUGUUCUAAUCAG